RNAcentral lists this unclassified non-coding RNA (128 nucleotides) under soil metagenome. RNAcentral's name for it is "partial internal transcribed spacer 1". The record is from RNAcentral.
UCGAAUUUCUGGGGCCGAAAGGCCUCGAAUUCCACACUGUGUUUUAAGCGCCUUCUGGUUGAUUCGAGAAGGAUGUGAAAACCUGAUUCAUACCUGGUAUGAAGAUUUUUUACAAAACAAAAAUUUUA